GACGAACGCUGGCGGCGUGCUUAACACAUGCAAGUCGAACGGAAAGGCCCUGCUUUUGUGGGGUGCUCGAGUGGCGAACGGGUGAGUAACACGUGAGUAACCUGCCCUUGACUUUGGGAUAACUUCAGGAAACUGGGGCUAAUACCGGAUAGGAGCUCCUGCUGCAUGGUGGGGGUUGGAAAGUUUCGGCGGUUGGGGAUGGACUCGCGGCUUAUCAGCUUGUUGGUGGGGUAGUGGCUUACCAAGGCUUUGACGGGUAGCCGGCCUGAGAGGGUGACCGGCCACAUUGGGACUGAGAUACGGCCCAGACUCCUACGGGAGGCAACAGUGGGGAAUAUUGCACAAUGGGCGGAAGCCUGAUGCAGCAACGCCGCGUGCGGGAUGACGGCCUUCGGGUUGUAAACCGCUUUCGCCUGUGACAAAGCGUGAGUGACGGUAAUGGGUAAAGAAGCACCGGCUAACUACAUG
This 468-nucleotide ribosomal RNA is filed under the name uncultured bacterium. RNAcentral's name for it is "partial 16S ribosomal RNA". It matches the Rfam family "Bacterial small subunit ribosomal RNA", at positions 28 to 507 of the family's 1533-position model. The record is from RNAcentral.